GACGAACGCUGGCGGCGUGCUUAACACAUGCAAGUCGAGCGGAAAGGCCCUUUCGGGGGUACUCGAGCGGCGAACGGGUGAGUAACACGUGAGUAAUCUGCCCCUGGCUUUGGGAUAGCCACCGUCAACGGUGAUUAAUACCGGAUACGACCACUUCUCGCAUGGGAUGGUGGUGGUAAGUUUUGCGGCCCGGGAUGUGCUCGCGGGCUAUCAGCGUGAUGGUGAGUUAAUGGCUGACCAUGGCUGCGACGUGUAGCCGGCCUGAGAGGGUGAACGGGCAAACUGGGACUGAGACACGGCCCAGACUCCUACGGGAGGCAGCAGUGGGGAAUAUUGGACAAUGGGCGGAAGCCUGAUCCAGCAACGCCGCGUGAGGGAUGACGGCCUUCGGGUUGUAAACCUCUUUCAGCAGUGACGAAGCGCAAGUGACGGUACCUGCAGAAGAAGCACCGGCCAACUACGUGCCAGCCGCCGCGGUAA
RNAcentral lists this ribosomal RNA (480 nucleotides) under uncultured bacterium. Its description in RNAcentral is "partial 16S ribosomal RNA". It matches the Rfam family "Bacterial small subunit ribosomal RNA", at positions 28 to 523 of the family's 1533-position model. The record is from RNAcentral.